UCAUGGCUCAGGAUGAACGCUAGCGGCAGGCCUAACACAUGCAAGUCGAGGGGCAGCGGGGAAAAGCUUGCUUUUCCGCCGGCGACCGGCGCACGGGUGCGCAACGCGUAUAGAAUCUGCCCCUUACCGGGGAAUAGCCCAGGGAAACUUGGAUUAAUGCCCCAUGGUAUAUGUUGACGGCAUCGUUUUCAUAUUAAAGGUUACGGUAAGGGAUGACUAUGCGUCCCAUUAGUUAGUUGGUAAGGUAACGGCUUACCAAGGCAGCGAUGGGUAGGGGCCCUGAGAGGGGGAUCCCCCACACUGGUACUGAGACACGGACCAGACUCCUACGGGAGGCAGCAGUGAGGAAUAUUGGACAAUGGGCGAAAGCCUGAUCCAGCCAUGCCGCGUGCAGGAAGACGGCCCUAUGGGUUGUAAACUGCUUUUGUACGGGAAGAAACCCGCCCACGUGUGGGCGAUUGACGGUACCGUAAGAAUAAGGACCGGCUAACUCCGUGCCAGCAGCCGCGGUAAUACGGAGGGUCCGAGCGUUAUCCGGAAUUAUUGGGUUUAAAGGGUCCGUAGGCGGGCCGUUAAGUCAGGGGUGAAAUGCUGCGGCUCAACCGUAGCACUGCCUUUGAUACUGGCGGUCUUGAGUUAUGGUGAAGUUGCCGGAAUAUGUGGUGUAGCGGUGAAAUGCAUAGAGAUCACAUAGAACACCGAUUGCGAAGGCAGGUGACUAACCAUAUACUGACGCUGAUGGACGAAAGCGUGGGGAGCGAACGGGAUUAGAUACCCCGGUAGUCCACGCCGUAAACGAUGGAUACUAGCUGUCCGGUACCUUGAGUACUGGGCGGCCAAGCGAAAGUGAUAAGUAUCCCACCU
This 864-nucleotide ribosomal RNA is filed under the name Kriegella sp. RNAcentral describes it as "bacterial SSU rRNA". It matches the Rfam family "Bacterial small subunit ribosomal RNA", at positions 17 to 874 of the family's 1533-position model. Lineage: Bacteria; Pseudomonadati; Bacteroidota; Flavobacteriia; Flavobacteriales; Flavobacteriaceae. The record is from RNAcentral.